GCAUAUCAAUAAGCGGAGGAAAAGAAACCAACUGGGAUUGCCUUAGUAACGGCGAGUGAAGCGGCAAUAGCUCAAAUUUGAAAGCUGGCCCCUUUGGGGUCCGCGUUGUAAUUUGUAGAGGAUGAUUCGGCGAGGGCUCCCGUCUAAGUCCCCUGGAACGGGGCGUCACAGAGGGUGAGAAUCCCGUAUGUGAUGGGUUGCCUUAGCCAUGUGAAUCUCCUUCGACGAGUCGAGUUGUUUGGGAAUGCAGCUCUAAAUGGGAGGUAAAUUUCUUCUAAAGCUAAAUACCGGCCAGAGACCGAUAGCGCACAAGUAGAGUGAUCGAAAGAUGAAAAGCACUUUGGAAAGAGAGUUAAAAAGUACGUGAAAUUGUUGAAAGGGAAGCGCUUGCAGCCAGACUUGUCCGCAGUUGCUCAGCCGGUCUCCUGACCGGCGUACUCUUCUGCGGCCAGGCCAGCAUCAGUUCGGGCGGUCGGAUAAAGACCUCGGGAAUGUAGCUCCUCUCGGGGAGUGUUAUAGCCCGGGGUGGAAUGCGGCCAGCCUGGACUGAGGAUCUCGCUUCGGCUAGGAUGCUGGCGUAAUGGCUGUAAGCGGCCCGUCUUGAAACACGGACCAAGGAGUCUAACAUCUAUGCGAGUGUUUGGGUGUCAAACCCAUACGCGUAAUGAAAGUGAACGGAGGUGGGAACCGCAAGGUGCACCAUCGACCGAUCCUGAUGUCUUCGGAUGGAUUUGAGUAAGAGCAUAGCUGUUGGGACCCGAAAGAUGGUGAACUAUGCCUGAAUAGGGUGAAGCCAGAGGAAACUCUGGUGGAGGCUCGCAGCGGUUCUGACGUGCAAAUCGAUCGUCAAAUUUGGGUAUAGGGGCAAAAGACUAUUCGAACCAUCUAGUAGCUGGGUCCUGCCGAAGU
RNAcentral lists this ribosomal RNA (909 nucleotides) under Dothiorella casuarinae. Its description in RNAcentral is "LSU rRNA". It matches the Rfam family "Eukaryotic large subunit ribosomal RNA", at positions 38 to 967 of the family's 3401-position model. The record is from RNAcentral. Lineage: Eukaryota; Fungi; Ascomycota; Dothideomycetes; Botryosphaeriales; Botryosphaeriaceae.